GCGUCCUGACCGAACUGGAUCUUUAGAUCCUCCAUCUCGGAGGAGGCUUUAAACUCCUCCACUGCUCGGGCCCCUUCCUCCGAGAUCAGGGACGGAAUCCACGCUUUCAGUUUGAAAACCUACGCCUUCAACUCGGAAGCCUGUGCCUUCAGUUCGGAGAUUUCGGCCUCAGCAUUCUUCCUCUCCUCCUCCAAGGCGAUCCUCAGAUCGGAUGAGGUUCGUCCCUCUUUUUCAGUGCCUCCUGGAGACUUAGGACCUC
RNAcentral lists this long non-coding RNA (259 nucleotides) under Elaeis guineensis (African oil palm). RNAcentral describes it as "long non-coding RNA (EGUI_LNC077655)". The record is from RNAcentral. Lineage: Eukaryota; Viridiplantae; Streptophyta; Magnoliopsida; Arecales; Arecaceae.